Molecule: ribosomal RNA, 322 nt
Filed under: uncultured bacterium
Lineage: Bacteria
Description: bacterial SSU rRNA
Rfam family: Bacterial small subunit ribosomal RNA
Source: RNAcentral
AAUCAACGCUGGCGGCGUGCCUCAGACAUGCAAGUCGAACGAGAACCUCCCUUCGGGAGGAGGACAGUGGCGCACGGGUGAGUAACACGUGGGUAAUUUACCCUUGGGUGGGGAACAACAGCCGGGAAACGGCUGCUAAUACCGCAUAAUGCAGCGGCUCGACAUCGAGACAGUUGUUAAAGCGGGGGAUCGCAAGACCUCGCGCCUGAAGAGAAGCCUGCGGCGGAUAGCUAGUUGGUAGGUAAUGGCCUACCAAGGCGACGAUCUGUAACCGGCCUGAGAGGGCGGUCGGUCACACUGACACUGACAUACGGGUCAGACU